Molecule: small nucleolar RNA, 132 nt
Filed under: Catagonus wagneri (Chacoan peccary)
Lineage: Eukaryota; Metazoa; Chordata; Mammalia; Artiodactyla; Tayassuidae
Description: Small nucleolar RNA SNORA9 (ENSCWAG00000002037.1)
Rfam family: Small nucleolar RNA SNORA9
About the family: ACA9 is a member of the H/ACA class of snoRNA that guide the sites of modification of uridines to pseudouridines.
Source: Rfam by way of RNAcentral
CUGCAAGCCUCCAGCGUGCUUGGGUCUGUGGUGACCCUGUGCAUUCCUGCAGUGCUUGCAAGAGUAUUUUGAGAUGGUUUGAGGCCUUGCCCUGCUUCAUCCAGAGCAAGGUUAUAGAAAUUUCAGACAAUU